RNAcentral lists this unclassified non-coding RNA (231 nucleotides) under Hevea brasiliensis (rubber tree). The record is from RNAcentral. Lineage: Eukaryota; Viridiplantae; Streptophyta; Magnoliopsida; Malpighiales; Euphorbiaceae.
GGAAGAGAAGGAAAAGAAAACAGAGGCUACAUAUUUAUUUUUCUCAUUACUUUUAUAGAAUAGAAGAUUACAUAUUUAUAUACAUAUCUCCUAUAAUUACUCUACUUAACUAGAAAUAUAAAUCCAACCUAUUUAGGAAUAUAAAUUCUACACUAAAUAGGAAUGUAUAAAAUAUACCAACUAAAUAGUAAUAUAUAAAUUAUACCAACUAAAUAGGAAUAUAUAAAAUAU